UUAGAGUUUGAUCCUGGCUCAGGAUGAACGCUAGCGGCAGGCCUAAUACAUGCAAGACGAACGGUAACAUUUGUAGCAAUACGGAUGCAAGAGUGUCGUAAGGGUGCGUAACACGUAUGCAAUCUGCCCUGUACAGGAGGAUAGCUCGGGGAAACCCGGAUUAACCCUCCAUAAGAUCGCACGAGGGCAUCUGAGAGCGAUUAAAACUGAGGUGGUACAGGAUGAGCAUGCGUCUGAUUAGCUAGUUGGUAGGGUAACGGCCUACCAAGGCUAUGAUCAGUAGGGGAACUGAGAGGUUGAUCCCCCACACUGGCACUGAGAUACGGGCCAGACUCCUACGGGAGGCAGCAGUAGGGAAUAUUGGUCAAUGGGUGAGAGCCUGAACCAGCCAUGCCGCGUGCAGGAAGAAGGCCUUCUGGGUUGUAAACUGCUUUUGCCAGGGGCUAAAAAGCUCAUGCGUGGGAAAUUGAAAGUACCUGGUGAAUAAGCCACGGCUAACUACGUGCCAGCAGCCGCGGUAAUACGUAGGUGGCAAGCGUUGUCCGGAUUUAUUGGGUUUAAAGGGUGCGUAGGCGGUCUGUUAAGUCAGUGGUGAAAUACGGCAGCUUAACUGUCGAGGUGCCAAUGAUACUGGCGGACUUGAGUACAGACGAGGUAGGCGGAAUUGACGGUGUAGCGGUGAAAUGCAUAGAUAUCGUCAAGAACACCGAUAGCGAAGGCAGCUUACUAAGCUGUAACUGACGCUGAGGCACGAAAGUGUGGGGAUCAAACAGGAUUAGAUACCCUGGUAGUCC
Molecule: ribosomal RNA, 794 nt
Filed under: uncultured bacterium
Lineage: Bacteria
Description: bacterial SSU rRNA
Rfam family: Bacterial small subunit ribosomal RNA
Source: RNAcentral